Molecule: ribosomal RNA, 493 nt
Filed under: uncultured bacterium
Lineage: Bacteria
Description: partial 16S ribosomal RNA
Rfam family: Bacterial small subunit ribosomal RNA
Source: RNAcentral
AUUGAACGCUGGCGGCAUGCUUUACACAUGCAAGUCGAACGGUAACAGGUUAAGCUGACGAGUGGCGAACGGGUGAGUAAUGCAUCGGAACGUGCCCGGUCGUGGGGGAUAACGCAGCGAAAGCUGCGCUAAUACCGCAUACGAUCUAAGGAUGAAAGCGGGGGACCGUAAGGCCUCGCGCGAUCGGAGCGGCCGAUGUCAGAUUAGGUAGUUGGUGGGGUAAAGGCUCACCAAGGCAACGAUCUGUAGCUGGUCUGAGAGGACGACCAGCCACACUGGGACUGAGACACGGCCCAGACUCCUACGGGAGGCAGCAGUGGGGAAUUUUGGACAAUGGGCGAAAGCCUGAUCCAGCAACGCCGCGUGCAGGAAGAAGGCCUUCGGGUUGUAAACUGCUUUUGUACGGAGCGAAAAGGUCUCCUCUAAUACAGGGGGCUCAUGACGGUACCGUAAGAAUAAGCACCGGCUAACUACGUGCCAGCAGCCGCCGUAA